GGGCCGUUAGCUCAGCGGAAGAGCAUCUGCCUUACACGCAGGGGGUCACAGGUUCGAAUCCUGUACGGCCCA
RNAcentral lists this transfer RNA (72 nucleotides) under Planctomycetota bacterium. RNAcentral describes it as "Planctomycetes bacterium (groundwater metagenome) tRNA-Val". It matches the Rfam family "tRNA". Rfam says of the family: Transfer RNA (tRNA) molecules are approximately 80 nucleotides in length. Their secondary structure includes four short double-helical elements and three loops (D, anti-codon, and T loops). Lineage: Bacteria; Pseudomonadati; Planctomycetota. The record is from RNAcentral.